AUGUUCUAACGUCGACCCCUAAUCGGGGUUGCGGACAGUGCCUGGUGGGUAGUUUGACUGGGGCGGUCUCCUCCCAAAGAGUAACGGAGGAGCACGAAGGUGGGCUAAUCACGGUUGGACAUCGUGAGGUUAGUGCAAUGGCAUAAGCCCGCUUGACUGCGAGAAUGACAAUUCGAGCAGGUGCGAAAGCAGGUCAUAGUGAUCCGGUGGUUCUGAAUGGAAGGGCCAUCGCUCAACGGAUAAAAGGUACUCCGGGGAUAACAGGCUGAUACCGCCCAAGAGUUCAUAUCGACGGCGGUGUUUGGCACCUCGAUGUCGGCUCAUCACAUCCUGGGGCUGAAGUCGGUCCCAAGGGUAUGGCUGUUCGCCAUUUAAAGUGGUACGCGAGCUGGGUUUAGAACGUCGUGAGACAGUUCGGUCCCUAUCUGCCGUGGGCGUUGGAAGAUUGAAGGGGGCUGCUCCUAGUACGAGAGGACCGGAGUGGACGAACCUCUGGUGUUCGGGUUGUGUCGCCAGACGCAUUGCCCGGUAGCUAAGUUCGGAAUCGAUAACCGCUGAAAGCAUCUAAGCGGGAAGCGAGCCCUGAGAUGAGUCUUCCCUGAUACUUUAAGUAUCCUAAAGGGUUGUCGGAGACUACGACGUUGAUAGGUCAGGUGUGUAAGUGCUGUGAGGCAUUGAGCUAACUGAUACUAAUUGCCCGUGAGGCUUAACCAU
RNAcentral lists this ribosomal RNA (714 nucleotides) under Vibrio parahaemolyticus. RNAcentral's name for it is "partial 23S ribosomal RNA". It matches the Rfam family "Bacterial large subunit ribosomal RNA", at positions 2217 to 2925 of the family's 2925-position model. The record is from RNAcentral. Lineage: Bacteria; Pseudomonadati; Pseudomonadota; Gammaproteobacteria; Vibrionales; Vibrionaceae.